AUUGAACGCUGGCGGCAUGCCUUACACAUGCAAGUCGAACGGCAGCACGGGUGCUUGCACCUGGUGGCGAGUGGCGAACGGGUGAGUAAUACAUCGGAACGUACCUUAUCGUGGGGGAUAACGCAGCGAAAGCUGUGCUAAUACCGCAUACGCCCUGAGGGGGAAAGCGGGGGAUCGCAAGACCUCGCGCGAUUAGAGCGGCCGAUGCCUGAUUAGCUUGUUGGUGGGGUAAAAGCCCACCAAGGCGACGAUCAGUAGCUGGUCUGAGAGGACGAUCAGCCACACUGGGACUGAGACGCGGCCCAGACUCCUACGGGAGGCAGCAGUGGGGAAUUUUGGACAAUGGGGGCAACCCUGAUCCAGCAAUGCCGCGUGAGUGAAGAAGGCCCUCGGGUUGUAAAGCUCUUUUGUCAGGGAAGAAACACCGGCUCUAACACAGUCCGGGAAUGACGGUACCUGAAGAAUAAGCACCGGCUAACUACGUGCCAGCCGCCGCGGUAA
Molecule: ribosomal RNA, 501 nt
Filed under: uncultured bacterium
Lineage: Bacteria
Description: partial 16S ribosomal RNA
Rfam family: Bacterial small subunit ribosomal RNA
Source: RNAcentral